UGGAUGUGGCUAAGGAAACCAUCCCAAACACUGUACGUGUGUUCCUUCCAUUUCAUCGAUAAAAAGCCCACGGAGGAAAACCCGCAUCCUAUGUUGUGGUUGGGUUAUAACAAACCUAUGGAGAAGAAACACCGAGUGCUGAGGAGGUUCAACAGCAGCUUCACAUCAACAACAGUGGACACUUGAACUCCAGGAGCUGUGUCGAGUCUAAAAUGCCAUCUGGACUUGCCCCAAACCAGGGAUGCUCAAGACACACCACCAGGCCUCUCCGCUCCACAGUGUGGAAUUGACCUUCCAUGAGCUGAAUGGCUUUGUCCUCUUUCUUUACCAUAUUUAGUGGCAGAAUUGCCAGUGAAGGUGGGGUGUAAGUGUUCAGUCAGGAACUUCUGUGGGUUGGUUGUGAUCCGUUUAAGCACUCCUUUUGCUGUGCUUGCAGUCAGCCGCAGCUUCCUAGCAUCGUGCCAUAGUUGUGAUGUACUUUGUAUUUGGGUCUCUUUGCUCAAUGUCUCUAAUUGUGUUGGGCUUAGUUGAACAUAAAUUUCAUAAAAGGACACACUUCCUGCAGGUCAGCAUUGUGCUGUGCUCUGUAUGAGGCAUAUGUAGAUCACACUGGCUCUGAGAAUACUGAGGAGAGUCAUUUUCUAAUUCUAGUCUGUAGCACUGUUGAAGGGGACCAUUCGUCUGCAGCAGAUAUAGUGGGGCCAUCACAGAAGAACUGAUGUACGUUUUAAAGUCUUUGUGAUUUUUAAAAAGUUUGGGGAUACCCUCUGCUGAUGAUGCAAUGGUGUGAUUUGAUGCUGAUGCUUAUGAACCUUCAUGAAUGUGUUCUGCUUUAUGGCAUUUAAACUUUAUGUGCUUCA
Molecule: long non-coding RNA, 860 nt
Organism: Thalassophryne amazonica
Lineage: Eukaryota; Metazoa; Chordata; Actinopteri; Batrachoidiformes; Batrachoididae
Exons: 2
Source: RefSeq, a predicted model, not a curated record